GAGGCAUAAGCAACCAUUUUUCCAUACUACAUCAGUACACAACCCAACCCUGCCUUGAGGUAUCGCUGUAAAUUACAAAUCGAUCCAAACCUUCGGUAUCGUUAAUACAGGAGCUGAAACUAGUCUCUACUUGGGUUCUUGAAAAUAUUUUUCACAUUUUUCUGUCCACUGAAACUUCACAUCCUUUCUUAUCAACUGAGUCAUCCGG
Molecule: long non-coding RNA, 208 nt
Filed under: Olea europaea (common olive)
Lineage: Eukaryota; Viridiplantae; Streptophyta; Magnoliopsida; Lamiales; Oleaceae
Description: long non-coding RNA (OEUR_LNC005173)
Source: RNAcentral